AACGUAGGGGACAAGCGUUAUCCGGAUUUACUGGGCGUAAAGCGCCCGUAGGCGGCUUUUUAAGUUGGACGUGAAAGCUCCCGGCUUAACUGGGAGAGGCCGUUCAAAACUAGCGAGCUAGAGUGAGGCAGAGGAGCGCGGAAUUCCCGGUGUAGUGGUGGAAUGCGUAGAUAUCGGGAGGAACACCAGUGGCGAAAGCGGCGCUCUGGGCCUAAACUGACGCUGAGGGGCGAAAGCGUGGGGAGCGAACGGG
RNAcentral lists this ribosomal RNA (253 nucleotides) under uncultured bacterium. RNAcentral describes it as "partial 16S ribosomal RNA". It matches the Rfam family "Bacterial small subunit ribosomal RNA", at positions 524 to 776 of the family's 1533-position model. The record is from RNAcentral.